RNAcentral lists this ribosomal RNA (253 nucleotides) under uncultured bacterium. Its description in RNAcentral is "partial 16S ribosomal RNA". It matches the Rfam family "Bacterial small subunit ribosomal RNA", at positions 524 to 776 of the family's 1533-position model. The record is from RNAcentral.
UACGUAGGGGGCAAGCGUUGUCCGGAAUCAUUGGGCGUAAAGAGCGUGUAGGCGGUCCGGUAAGUCGGUUGUGAAAGUCCAGGGCUCAACCCUGGGAUGCCGAUCGAUACUGUCGGACUAGAGUUCGGAAGAGGCGAGUGGAAUUCCCGGUGUAGCGGUGAAAUGCGCAGAUAUCGGGAGGAACACCAAUGGCGAAGGCAGCUCGCUGGGACGUUACUGACGCUGAGACGCGAAAGCGUGGGGAGCAAACAGG